This 405-nucleotide ribosomal RNA is filed under the name uncultured bacterium. Its description in RNAcentral is "bacterial SSU rRNA". It matches the Rfam family "Bacterial small subunit ribosomal RNA", at positions 355 to 777 of the family's 1533-position model. The record is from RNAcentral.
UGGGGGAUAUUGCACAAUGGGGGAAACCCUGAUGCAGCGACGCCGCGUGAGCGAUGAAGUAUUUCGGUAUGUAAAGCUCUAUCAGCAGGGAAGAAAAUGACGGUACCUGACUAAGAGGCCCCGGCUAACUACGUGCCAGCAGCCGCGGUAAUACGUAGGGGGCAAGCGUUAUCCGGAUUUACUGGGUGUAAAGGGAGCGUAGACGGCUGCGCAAGUCUGAAGUGAAAGGCGGGGGCUCAACCCCCGGACUGCUUUGGAAACUGUACAGCUAGAGUGUCGGAGAGGCAAGUGGAAUUCCUAGUGUAGCGGUGAAAUGCGUAGAUAUUAGGAGGAACACCAGUGGCGAAGGCGGCUUGCUGGACGAUGACUGACGUUGAGGCUCGAAAGCGUGGGGAGCAAACAGGA